GUCGCACGGGACCGGGGGCAACUCCGGUUCAGUGGCAGACGGGUGCGUAACACGUGAGGAACCUGUCCGACGGCGGGGGAUAGCCGGCCUAACGGCCGGGUAAUACCGCAUACGAUCGUCCGGGGGCAUCCCUGGGCGAGGAAAGCAGCCGCAAGGUUGCGCCGAUGGAGGGCCUCGCGGCCUAUCAGCUCGUUGGCGGGGUAACGGCCUACCAAGGCGACGACGGGUAGCUGGUCUGAGAGGAUGGCCAGCCACAUUGGGACUGAGACACGGCCCAGACUCCUACGGGAGGCAGCAGUGGGGAAUAUUGCGCAAUGGCCGCAAGGCUGACGCAGCGACGCCGCGUGUGGGAUGACGGCCUUCGGGUUGUAAACCACUGUCGGGAGGGACGAAUACCGGGCGACGAAUAGCCGACCCGGGGUGACGGUACCUCCAAAGGAAGCACCGGCUAACUCCGUGCCAGCAGCCGCGGUAACACGGAAGGUGCGAGCGAUGUCCGGAAUCACUGGGCGUAAAGGGCGCGUACGCGGCCCGUUAAGUUGCUGGUGAAAUCCCGGGGCUCAACUCCCGGGCUGCCGGCGGACUGACGGGCUGGAGCACGGUAGAGGCAGAUGGAAUUCCCGGUGUAGCGGUGGAAUGCGUAGAGAUCGGGAAGAAUACCGGUGGGGAAGGCGUUCUGCUGGGCCGUUGCUGACGCUGAGGCGCGACAACGUGGGGAGCAAACAAGAUUAGAUACCCUGGUAGUCCACGCCGUAACGAUGGACACUAGGCGUCGGGGGGAGCGACCCCCCUCGGUGUCGUCGCUAUCGUCAAUAAGUGUCCCGCCUGGGGAGUACAGUCCGCAACUGCUGAUACUCAACUGCAUGACGGGG
This 872-nucleotide ribosomal RNA is filed under the name uncultured Gemmatimonadota bacterium. RNAcentral describes it as "bacterial SSU rRNA". It matches the Rfam family "Bacterial small subunit ribosomal RNA", at positions 61 to 918 of the family's 1533-position model. Lineage: Bacteria; Pseudomonadati; Gemmatimonadota. The record is from RNAcentral.